This 466-nucleotide ribosomal RNA is filed under the name uncultured bacterium. RNAcentral's name for it is "bacterial SSU rRNA". It matches the Rfam family "Bacterial small subunit ribosomal RNA", at positions 29 to 506 of the family's 1533-position model. The record is from RNAcentral.
ACGAACGCUGGCGGCGUGCUUAACACAUGCAAGUCGAACGAUGAAGCCGGAGCUUGCUCUGGUGGAUUAGUGGCGAACGGGUGAGUAACACGUGAGUAACCUGCCCUUGACUCUGGGAUAAGCGUUGGAAACGACGUCUAAUACCGGAUACGAGCUGGGACCGCAUGGUCACCAGCUGGAAAGAAUUUCGGUCAAGGAUGGACUCGCGGCCUAUCAGUUAGUUGGUGAGGUAACGGCUCACCAAGACGACGACGGGUAGCCGGCCUGAGAGGGUGACCGGCCACACUGGGACUGAGACACGGCCCAGACUCCUACGGGAGGCAGCAGUGGGGAAUAUUGCACAAUGGGCGCAAGCCUGAUGCAGCAACGCCGCGUGAGGGACGACGGCCUUCGGGUUGUAAACCUCUUUUAGCAGGGAAGAAGCGAAAGUGACGGUACCUGCAGAAAAAGCACCGGCUAACUACGU